Molecule: ribosomal RNA, 698 nt
Filed under: uncultured bacterium
Lineage: Bacteria
Description: bacterial SSU rRNA
Rfam family: Bacterial small subunit ribosomal RNA
Source: RNAcentral
CAGUAAACGAUGAAUGCUAGCUGUCCGGGGGGAUUGACCCUGGGUGGCACAGCGAAAGCGUUAAGCAUUCCACCUGGGGAGUACGCCGGCAACGGUGAAACUCAAAGGAAUUGACGGGGGCCCGCACAAGCGGAGGAACAUGUGGUUUAAUUCGAUGAUACGCGAGGAACCUUACCCGGGCUCAAACGCCGAAGGAACAUUCCCCGAAAGGGGAAUGGCCAGCAAUGGUCUUCGGCGAGGUGCUGCAUGGUUGUCGUCAGCUCGUGCCGUGAGGUGUCGGCUUAAGUGCCAUAACGAGCGCAACCCCCACCGACAGUUGCUAACUGGUCAAGCAGAGGACUCUGUCGGGACUGCCGGCGCAAGCUGCGAGAAAGGCGGGGAUGACGUCAAAUCAGCACGGCCCUUACGUCCGGGGCGACACACGUGUUACAAUGGCAGGUACAGCGGGAUGCCAUGGGGCGACCCAGAGCGGAACCCGAAAACCUGUCUCAGUUCGGAUUGGAGUCUGCAACCCGACUCCAUGAAGCUGGAUUCGCUAGUAAUCGCGCAUCAGCCACGGCGCGGUGAAUACGUUCCCGGGCCUUGUACACACCGCCCGUCAAGCCAUGGGAGCCGGGGGUGCCUGAAGGCCGUGACCGCGAGGAGCGGCCUAGGGUAAAACUGGUGACUGGGGCUAAGUCGUAACAAGGUAGCCGUAA